RNAcentral lists this long non-coding RNA (241 nucleotides) under Olea europaea (common olive). Its description in RNAcentral is "long non-coding RNA (OEUR_LNC006361)". The record is from RNAcentral. Lineage: Eukaryota; Viridiplantae; Streptophyta; Magnoliopsida; Lamiales; Oleaceae.
AAAAUUAAAAUUAUAGAAUAAAUCCAUUUGAAAUUCAAAUCUAAAUCCAUUUUUAAUAUCUAAAUUCAAAACAACUUUUGAAAACAUCAAUUUGAUCCAAACUUAAAAUUAACAGGAGGGCCACCGAAAUUUGAAAAUUGCACAACAGCCCUCAGUUAUAAAAUUGCAAAAUGACCCCUAAUAUCAUAUUUGCAGGCGGGCCCCCACAAUUACAUUAAUUGCAGAGGAACCCCCCGCCUCC